GACACUGAGAAGUGGCAUAGUGCGAGCGCAAAUAUAUUUUUUUAACUAUGACGAGUUAUAAGUGCAUAAGUAGAUGCUGUUCUUCUGUGAACACAGAAGUAACAUUUUUUGGUCUUCCAAGUGAUCCUUUAAGACGUGAAGCUUGGCUUCGUGCAGCUAAAAGAGAAGACCUGCUGCAAAAAGAAAAUUUUAAAAAUUACAGAAUAUGUAGAAAGCAUUUUGCGGAAAAAUAUAUCUCAACUGGGGGGAAAAAGUUAUUUCCAAACGCUAUACCUACAUUUUUUUGUAAUCAUAUUUGUGUACUUACAUCGACGGAAAUAAAUGAAACUGAAAUUAAUGUUAAUCUGGAAUCCAAAAGCGAAGAACCUCCACGAAAGAUUUUGAUUUAAUCAGAUGUGACAGGCACUAAAGAUACGCUCAUCAAUUACAUUACAAGUAUAAAAUCACCAAGCAUAGGAACACAAACUUCAUCUACAUUGACUGCCAAUAGCCCAAGAAAGCUGAAGUUGCGAUACCAAGUCAGAGGUUUAAAAAGAAAUAUAUUAAAACAAAAAAAAGUAAUUUGAGCAGGCUAAAGCGAUUAAACCGAAACUCGAUAGUUUUAAUAAAUUAGGUGACAGCUUUUUAAAUAAAACUUUAUCUGAAAUAAUAAAAGUUCAAGCUAAAUUACAGCAUGAAGUAGGUAAAACUAAACGAUAUCCAGAUAGUUAUAAACAGUUUGCUUUAGUUUUGUAUUUCUUGGGGCCAAAAGCAUAUAGAUUUCUCGCAAAAAUAUUAAAUUUACCUACUAAACGUACUCUGGAAAAAAUGACACAAAGUAUUGUUUCAAAACCAGGACUAAACAAACAAACAUUCAAUUCUCUUGCUAUUAAAGUCAAAACUAUGUUUGAAGUUGAUAAGUAUUGUACCAUAUGUAUUGAUGAAACAUCUUUAAUGUCCUAUCUUUAUUUUAAUUUAGCAAAAGAUGAAUUUGUAGGCCGGGAGGAUAUUGGAAAAAAUGACAAUAAUAAUAUCAUAGCACAAAAUGUUGCUGCUAUUAUGGUUCGCGGACUUUUUCAUAACUGGAAGCAACCACUGGCUUAUUUUUUUGUAAACUCCCAACUUAAAGCUUCAGAUAUUUUAAAAAUAUUAACUGAAUGCGUUAAAAAAUUAUCAGAUGCUGGUUUAUUUAUCCACGGCUUAGUAACUGAUAUGGGCUCUAAUUUUAUACAGCUUUCUAGAAUGCUAAAGGUUAACGAAGAAAAUCCUGAAUUUCAAUUGGGCGAUUUGAAAUUAGUUUACAUUUUUGACCCUCCACAUUUAUUAAAGGCGACUAAAAAUAAUUUAGCCGAAAAUAAUUUUCAUUUUGACAAUAAAGUAACGUCUUGGAAGUUUGUCAAACAAUUUUAUGAAAAAGAUAGCCAGCAAGUGUAUAUGUAGGUGUGCUCAGAAACUUACUAAAUCCCACAUAUAUCCUAAUAACUUUGAAAAGAUGAAGGUAAAACUGUCCACGCAAGUUUUAAGUCAUAGUGUUGCGAGUGGAAUGAAUACAUAUAUGACAUUAGGAGCACUUCCUGUAGAUGCUUUACCUACAAUUGAAAUUAUAGAUAAAUUUAAUACUUUGUUUGAUUUGUUUAAUUCUACAGAUACGUCCCACCCGAAUAAAUUUAAAAAUGCAUAUCAGGGUCUUGAUUAUCAAGUUGAGUUUUUAAAUCACAUGUGGCUAUUUUUGAAAAACCUUGAAAUAUGCAAUAAUAAGGGAAAAAAAUUGACAAAAAAGUGUAAAUUUCGUCCGUGUUGGAUGAUAUCUAUCUAUGGAUUGAAAGUUUUAUGGCAGAGCCUUUCAAAUUGCGGAUUUAGUUACCUAAAAACCAGAAAAAUAAAUCAAGACUGUCUUGAAAAUUAUUUCGGAAAUAUAAGGCAACAAGGAUGGAAUUGCGUAAAUCCAACCCUAAUUUAAUUUCAAAGAGCCCAUAAAAAAUAUUUUGUCAGAAUUUUUUACACUCUGAAUAUAUGAACUGUGAGGACGAUUUAGGCGUGCUUUUAGCUGAGCUAAAAAACGUUUCAGAUGAAAAUUUAAGAGAAGUGAUGCAUACGCAGUCAUCUCAAAUAUGUAAGGCAAUAACUGUUUCUGAUUGUGAUUAUAGAGAACACAGUUUAACCACACAAAAUGCUUUUAAAUAUGUCUGUGGUUACUUAAUUAAAAAAGCUUUAAAUAUUCAUAAAUGUCCCAUUUGUGUCAGUUUUUCAGAAGAAUCCGGAAACCUUGAUGC
RNAcentral lists this long non-coding RNA (2252 nucleotides) under Anthonomus grandis grandis. RNAcentral describes it as "uncharacterized LOC126746475". Lineage: Eukaryota; Metazoa; Arthropoda; Insecta; Coleoptera; Curculionidae. The record is from RNAcentral.